This 440-nucleotide ribosomal RNA is filed under the name uncultured bacterium. RNAcentral describes it as "partial 16S ribosomal RNA". It matches the Rfam family "Bacterial small subunit ribosomal RNA", at positions 338 to 795 of the family's 1533-position model. The record is from RNAcentral.
CCUACGGGGGGCAGCAGUGGGGAAUAUUGCACAAUGGGGGAAACCCUGAUGCAGCGACGCCGCGUGAGUGAAGAAGUAAUUCGUUAUGUAAAGCUCUAUCAGCAGGGAAGAAAAUGACGGUACCUGAGUAAGAAGCCCCGGCUAACUACGUGCCAGCAGCCGCGGUAAUACGUAGGGGGCAAGCGUUAUCCGGAUUUACUGGGUGUAAAGGGAGCGCAGACGGCUGUGCAAGUCUGGAGUGAAAGGCGGGGGCCCAACCCCAGGACUGCUCUUGAAACUGUAAAGCUGGAGUGCAGGAGAGGUAAGCGGAAUUCGUGGUGUAGCGGUGAAAUGCGUAGAUAUUAGGAGGAACACCAGUGGCGAAGGCGGCUUACUGGACUGCAACUGACGUUGAGGCUCGAAAGCGUGGGGAGCAAACAGGAUUAGAUACCCUUGUAGUC